Long non-coding RNA from Mauremys mutica (yellowpond turtle), 784 nucleotides. RefSeq lists it as uncharacterized. The record is from RefSeq and is a predicted model, not a curated record. The transcript is spliced from 3 exons. Lineage: Eukaryota; Metazoa; Chordata; Testudines; Geoemydidae.
CAGGACCUUCAGCAGCAGAGGGAAGGGAAGAAAGUCAUAUAGGAUUCCUUUGUCCCAUGGAAGGGAAGAAAAAACUAACGGAAACCCUAUAAUACUAAGAAGAAAAAGUGAACGAAAAUGCCUGAGUUUGCAAAGACCCUGAAACAAUAGCUGCAAGGCAUGGAGAGCUCACAGAGCAACUGCCCAGCUGACCAUGCCAGCUCCACAUAGCAAAUGUGCUCCUGCAUGGAUUACACAGGAGGUAGUGGAUCUCCCGGGUCUGCGGGAAGAAGAGGAUGUGCAGGGACAGCUCCUAACCAGCCAUAGAAAGGUUGACAUAUACAAGCAGAUUGCUUAGGGUACAGGGGAGAAGGGAUGCAACGGACACUCAGCAGUGCCACAUGAAAAUCAAGGAGCUGCAGAAGGCAUACCAGAAGGCAAGGGAAGCAAAAAACUACUCUGGUGCGGGGGCGCAAACAUGCUGCUUCAACAAGGAGCUACAUGCCAUGCUACUGUGGGGGAGACCACCACCACUGCCAAGAGCCUCAUGGAUACUUUGGGAGAGAUGGAGUCACAGGCCCCCACAAUGCAUAGUGAGGAGAAGGUGGUGUUGGAUGAGGAAGGGGAGAAGUAGGGGGACAGGCAAUUAGGGGAUCCAGUGGCACGGCGAGCCAGGACCUCUUUCUGACGCCGGAGCAGUUGAGUCACUCCCAAUAGUCCAGCACCAGCAAGCCUAACGCAGGGGAAGGAACCUCUGGGUGCGUAUGCAGUUUGCUUUGACAUUGCAGUACCCUUACCACUCCAC